This 346-nucleotide long non-coding RNA is filed under the name Pan troglodytes (chimpanzee). Its description in RNAcentral is "long non-coding RNA NONPTRT001097". Lineage: Eukaryota; Metazoa; Chordata; Mammalia; Primates; Hominidae. The record is from RNAcentral.
UACAGAAAAAUUGGUUGUCCUGCUUUUUUCCAUCAUCUAAGUCUCUAGUAAUUUAUUGGUAGUUAAACCACAUACUGUUUAAAAGUAUGUUGUUUAGCUUACAUGUAAUAUGUGCAUGUGUAUGUGUGUGUGCACGUGUAUGUGUGCAUAAUAUCUUUAUAAUUAUAUCUUCCUGGUGAAUUUUUUUUUAUCAUUAAUGUCCUUCUUUGUCUUUUGUGAAAUUUUUUGAUUUUUCAACUAUUUUUUUCCGAUGUAAGUUGUCAAGCCUGUCCCGCAGACCCUGGCCAAGUGACAGAUGAAAGGAGUACUUAGACACAGGUAUCCAGUGAAAGGAUGGGCUAGGGGA